AGCUUUGCGCGGUGGCAGCAUCGUAGCCAAUGAGGUUUAUCCGAGGCGCGAUUAUUGCUAAUUGAAAAAAGGAAUAACCAGUGGCGCCUGGUUGACUUGGUUGGUUAAGCAUCCAACUCUGAGUUUCAGCUCAGGUCUGGACC
Molecule: small nuclear RNA, 143 nt
Filed under: Zalophus californianus (California sea lion)
Lineage: Eukaryota; Metazoa; Chordata; Mammalia; Carnivora; Otariidae
Description: U4 spliceosomal RNA (ENSZCAG00015008936.1)
Rfam family: U4 spliceosomal RNA (bases 1-70)
Source: RNAcentral